AAAGGGGGAGAAGGAGAGAAGAGUAAUGAUACCAGGAAAGCAAGUUUCUUGGGUGCAAAAACAUCAACUAUGGCUUUUCAAAAAUCAACUUCUUCUCAUCAAGAUGGGAGAUGGAGAUGGUGUGAGGGAGAGAAAGCAUUUCCAGUCAAAAAGAGAAGAGGGAGCUUUGAAACAAGAUCAAACGAAGAAACUCUGAUGGAGAAAGAUAAAAAAAUGAAGACAAAAAUGAAGACCAGGAUGAACAAGAAAUGCAUGCAAAGAAAUG
This 265-nucleotide unclassified non-coding RNA is filed under the name Hevea brasiliensis (rubber tree). The record is from RNAcentral. Lineage: Eukaryota; Viridiplantae; Streptophyta; Magnoliopsida; Malpighiales; Euphorbiaceae.